Long non-coding RNA from Corvus hawaiiensis (hawaiian crow), 627 nucleotides. RefSeq lists it as uncharacterized. The transcript has 4 exons. NCBI's taxonomy places the organism in Eukaryota, Metazoa, Chordata, Aves, Passeriformes, Corvidae. The record is from RefSeq and is a predicted model, not a curated record.
GUCUUCAGACCCAGGUGCUGCAUGAUGGAUCCAGUCAAUCAACUCCUUUCUUCAUCCCUAAGCACAACCUGGAGGUGCUGAGAAGGGUGAAGUGGGCAGCGAGAGACUACUGAAGGUUUUAUUCCACCGUAGAGAAAAUUCUGAUAAAGAAUUUUGUGUUGGCUGUAUGGCAGCACCUGGAAGGCCAAACCAUAUUUUCUGUGUACUGAGUAUUUGUGAAGACUCAGAUCAAGAAACUGAACCACACAGACAUUCUUACCCAAAAGCUGGUCUCUGGGGUUGGAGAACAGGAGCUGUGUAGAGGGACUGCAGUGGAGUUACAAUGAUCCCUCUUGGAAACACAGAAGAAGGAGAGACUGGAAAGUAUUCCUGCUUCAAAUGAAGUCCAUACCCACACCAGAAAUCUUGUAGCAGACACUUCACAUCCUGCUGAGGAGAUACCAAUGGCUUCAAGUUUGCAUCAGUGAAGAACUCCACUGAUGAGACCUCUUCUAUUAAACCUAUAUUUAGUGUAGAAAAGUGAAAUUCCCACAGUUCCCGGUCCCUCAUACAAGAAGGACAUCAAGGGACUGGAGUGUGUCCAGAGAAGGGCAACAGAGCUGGGGAAGGGUCUGGAGCACAGGUGUG